RNAcentral lists this ribosomal RNA (301 nucleotides) under uncultured bacterium. RNAcentral's name for it is "partial 16S ribosomal RNA". It matches the Rfam family "Bacterial small subunit ribosomal RNA", at positions 509 to 807 of the family's 1533-position model. The record is from RNAcentral.
CAGUAGCCGCGGGAAUACGGAGGGUGCAAGCGUUAAUCGGAAUUACUGGGCGUAAAGCGCACGCAGGCGGUUUGUUAAGUCAGAUGUGAAAUCCCCGAGCUUAACUUGGGAACUGCAUUUGAAACUGGCAAGCUAGAGUCUUGUAGAGGGGGGUAGAAUUCCAGGUGUAGCGGUGAAAUGCGUAGAGAUCUGGAGGAAUACCGGUGGCGAAGGCGGCCCCCUGGACAAAGACUAACGCUCAGGUGUGAAAGCGUGGGGAGCAAACAGGAUUAGAUACCCCUGUAGUCCCUGUCUCUUAUAC